Molecule: ribosomal RNA, 292 nt
Filed under: uncultured bacterium
Lineage: Bacteria
Description: partial 16S ribosomal RNA
Rfam family: Bacterial small subunit ribosomal RNA
Source: RNAcentral
GUGCCAGCAGCCGCGGUAAGACAGAGGGUGCAAACGUUGCUCGGAAUCACUGGGCGUAAAGGGCGCGUAGGCGGGGAUGUAAGUCGGGCGUGAAAUCCCUAGGCUCAACCUAGGAACUGCACUCGAAACUGCGUUUCUUGAGUAUCGGAGAGGAAAGCGGAAUUCCUGGUGUAGAGGUGAAAUUCGUAGAUAUCAGGAGGAACACCAGUGGCGAAGGCGGCUUUCUGGACGGUAACUGACGCUGAGGCGCGAAAGCGUGGGGAGCAAACAGGAUUAGAUACCCCGGUAGUCC